Molecule: unclassified non-coding RNA, 460 nt
Filed under: Zea mays
Lineage: Eukaryota; Viridiplantae; Streptophyta; Magnoliopsida; Poales; Poaceae
Description: misc RNA Zm00001eb160240
Source: RNAcentral
CUUCGUCGCCGAGGACAAGAACUACAUGAAAGUAGGGAAGUUGGUGCUGCUGCUGGAAGACGCAUGGCUAGCACCCGGAGCCCAGAUCUACUUCACCAUGCAAUGGGAAUUCAAUGGUGCUGCUGCUCACAGAAGGGAAGGAACAGGGUGUUUCACUUACAGGCUGGUCCCACUGGGACGACGUGUGCUGUUACUGUUAUCCCAUCAUCCGCAUUUCUCCAAUCAAACACAAAUAUUGAACAGUUCCAUCCCUUCAAACAAACAUCAACACAAAACCAUUCCAUCCCUCAAACUAGGGUUGGACUGAUCCCAUCCAUCUCGCUCUCCAACCAAAUGGACCUAAAGUAUCCGCCUAACUAUCUUAUUUUCUAAUUUCCUCACAUUGAGGUCCAUGGUUGAUCUGUAAUGCUUGACAAUCAAGGACUUAUGAUGGAACAGGGUGUUUCUAGUGUUUUCGGAA